This 2016-nucleotide long non-coding RNA is filed under the name Homo sapiens (human). Its description in RNAcentral is "HSALNT0192437". The record is from RNAcentral. Lineage: Eukaryota; Metazoa; Chordata; Mammalia; Primates; Hominidae.
GGUCUGAAACAGCUCUGUUGCCUAGGUUGGAGUGCACUGAGCAUGGCUCACUACAGCUUGAACCUCCAGGGUUCAAGCAAUCCUCCUCCCUGAGCCUCCUGAUUAGCUGGGACCAGAGGCGUGCACCACCAUGCUCAGCCAGUUUUUAAAUUUUGUUUUGUAGAGACAGGAUCUCUCCAUGUUGCCUAGGCUGGUCGCAAGCUCCUGGGCUCAAGCAAUCUUCCCCCGUCGGCCUCCCAAAUUGCUAGGAUUAUAAACAUUAGCCACUGCACCCAGCUUCAAAUGGUUCUAAAAUUGUGUUAUUUUAAGAAGUUAGCUUUGUCCAUUUGAUAUGACCCCUAAAAAGUAUUCUAUUGGAAUUAAAGAUGUACUUCUGAACAUUAGUAAGUAUAUAUUUUCUGAAUAUCUUCCUUAUUUAUUUUUCUAAAAUUUAUCUAAACUUCAGUGAAAAAUUCAUUAAUUCUGGACAGCAAAGUUGUUCAGAAAAUUCCAUCAAAAUAAAAAUGGAGACACUUUCUUUUGAUCUUAUCUGAAAAUAGUAUCUCUCUACUUCUACAGGUCAGUCACCCCCAAUUGACACAGUAAUUACCAUCUUUGACUGUUGAUUCAGAGACACAAGGAAUCCAAAGUGGCCAGUUGUUCAUGUGACAAAGAUCCAAAAGCAAUUGCAACAAAAGCAAAAAUGGACAAAAGGGACCUCAUUAAACUAAAGAGCUUCUGCACGGCAAAAGAAACUAUCAACAGAGUAAAAAGACAACUUACUAAAUGGGAGAAAAUGUUUGCAAACUAUGCAUCUGACAAAGAUUUAAUAUUCAGAAUCUAUAAGGAAUGUAAACAACGUAACAAGCAAAAUACAAACAAUCCCAUAAAAACAUGGGCAAAGGACAUGAACAGACACUUUCAAAAGAAGACAUACACACAGCCAACAAGCAUAUGAAAAAAUGCUCAACAUCACUGAUCAUUACAGAAAUGCAUAUCAACACCAUAAUGAGAUACUAUCUCAAACUAGUCAGAGAGACUAUCAUUAAAAAGCCAAAAAUUAACAGAUACUGGCAAAGUUACCAAGAAAAGGGGGUGCUUAUACAAUGCUGGUGGGAACAUAAAUUAGUUCAGCCAUUGUGGAAAGCAGUGUGACAAUUUCUUAAGGAAUUUAAACAGAAUUACCAUUCAACCCAGCAAUCCCAUUAUUGGGUAUAUACCUGAAGGAAUAUAAAUCAUUUUAUCAUAAAGACACAUGCACAUCUAUGUUCAGCACAGCACUAUUCACAAUAGCAAAGACAUGGAAUCAACCUAAAUGCUAAUCAAUGGUAGACUAGAUAAAGAAAAUGUAAUACAUAUACAACAUGGAAUACUAUGCACUCAUAAAAAAGAUUGAGAUCAUGUCCUUUGCGGUAGUAAUACGGUUGGAGAUAGAGGCCAUUAUCCUAGAAUUAUCCUAUCCUAAUCAUAUCCUCCUGUGAAUUAACACAGGAGCAGAAAACCAUAUAUGCAUGUUCUUACUAAAAAGUGAAAGAUAAACAUUGAGUACAAUUGGACAAAAAGAAGACAACAAUAGACAAUAUGCCUCAGGGCAUACUUGAGAGUGGAGGGUGUGGAUUGAAAAAUUACCUAUUGGGCACUAUGCUUAUUACUUGGGUGAUGAAAUAAUCUGUACACUGAACCCCUGUGACAUACAAUUUAUCUGUAUAACAAAUAUGCACAUGUACACCUGAAUCUAAAAUAAAAGUUAAAGAAAAGAAGUAGAAUUAUCUUAUACGUAUCCUAAAUGUAUGCUUGUUUGCAAAUAAUUUAAUGUAAUUUUUAUCUAUUUUAAUUUUUAAUGUUAAUGUUUUAUAUUUAAACAUCUAGUCCACACAUAAAAUUGCAUUCAUGUAUAAUAUUUUUAAUAAUGUAAAUGCAAAAGGUGUGUGAUUUAUUUUAAGAAAGACGUUGUAUUAUCAUUACCGUGUGUGCAUCAGAGAAUGGAUUAAGAAUAAUGCCAUUUUCUAUAUAGAUGUUUAAUACAUAACAUACAGA